RNAcentral lists this long non-coding RNA (232 nucleotides) under Mytilus galloprovincialis (Mediterranean mussel). Lineage: Eukaryota; Metazoa; Mollusca; Bivalvia; Mytilida; Mytilidae. The record is from RNAcentral.
CAUUUAAAUGCCAAGUCUUCAUGGUCCCCCCUCAGUUGAGAAUGACCAAAAGCUGUCACGAAGGUCCCCAUGUAGAUUUUUUGUAUUUUUGGUAAUUGUUAUGGGGGUUAAAAAUCAUAUGAUGUGGAGCUUAUUUUUCAUGGACACUGUCAAAUUCAGAACCCAUUACCGGUAUGGCUGAUUUGCAGCAACAACAAAACGAUUCGUACGGGUUAUGUAAAAGGCUAAAGAG